GAUGAAUGCUGGCGGCGCGCCUAACACAUGCAAGUCGAGCGGUAACAUGGACUUCGGUCUGAUGACGAGCGGCGGACGGCUGAGUAACGCGUGGGAACAUGCCCCAAAGUGAGGAAUAACUGCCCGAAAGGGUGGCUAAUGCCGCAUAUGAUCUUCGGAUUAAAGGAUUUAUCCGCUUUGGGAGUGGCCUGCGUACGAUUAGGUAGUUGGUGAGGUAAUGGCUCACCAAGCCUACGAUCGUUAACUGGUCUGAGAGGAUGAUCAGUCAGACUGGAACUGAGACACGGUCCAGACUCCUACGGGAGGCAGCAGUGAGGAAUCUUCCACAAUGGGCGAAAGCCUGAUGGAGCGACGCCGCGUGCAGGAUGAAGGCCUUCGGGUUGUAAACUGCUUUUAUAAGUGAAGAAUAUGACGGUAACUUAUGAAUAAGCACCGGCUAACUACGUGCCAGCCGCCGCCGUA
RNAcentral lists this ribosomal RNA (462 nucleotides) under uncultured bacterium. Its description in RNAcentral is "partial 16S ribosomal RNA". It matches the Rfam family "Bacterial small subunit ribosomal RNA", at positions 28 to 522 of the family's 1533-position model. The record is from RNAcentral.